GUAGUUAAGUUGUUCAUGUUCAUAAUGCGGUUUAUUAAAUUCAGGAGUUGGAUGGGCAGUUGUGUUGAUUUCAUUUUAUGUGGCGUUCUACUACAACGUAAUCAUUGGCUGGUCGAUCUUUUACCUUAUUUCCUCGUUCUCGGCUGAGCUUCCAUGGAUUGGUUGUAACCACAAGUGGAACACUGACUACUGUUACAAUGGCACAGCCGGCUAUGUGGACAUUGAAGGAGAAAAAGUAUGGAUAAAUGCAUCGACUGGUAUUUCAUCAUCGAAAGAAUUCUGGGAACGGAAGGCUUUGCAGAUACAUAAAAGUGAAGGAAUAGGUGAUCUAGGUGGCUUAAACUGGCAGAUGGUUUUAUGCUUUGCUACUGCUCUCGUUAUUGUGUACUUCACAGUCUGGAAAGGUGUAAAGACCUCAGGAAAAGUGGUCUAUGUAACAGCUACAAUGCCGUAUAUUGUCCUGUUUGUUCUCCUAAUCCGUGGAGUCACUUUACCGGGUGCAAAAGAAGGAAUCAAAUAUUAUGUAGAACCCGACUUCAAAAGACUACAAACCUCACA
Anneissia japonica is the source of this 558-nucleotide long non-coding RNA. RefSeq lists it as uncharacterized. Lineage: Eukaryota; Metazoa; Echinodermata; Crinoidea; Comatulida; Comatulidae. The record is from RefSeq and is a predicted model, not a curated record. The transcript has 3 exons.